RNAcentral lists this ribosomal RNA (197 nucleotides) under uncultured bacterium. Its description in RNAcentral is "partial 16S ribosomal RNA". It matches the Rfam family "Bacterial small subunit ribosomal RNA", at positions 328 to 539 of the family's 1533-position model. The record is from RNAcentral.
ACGCUCGACACCUACGGGAGCAGCAGUGGGGAAUAUUGCACAAUGGAGGAAACUCUGAUGCAGCGACGCCGCGUGAGGGAAGAAGGUCUUCGGAUUGUAAACCUCUGUUGUCAGGGACGAUGAUGACGGUACCUGACGAGGAAGCCACGGCUAACUACGUGCCAGCAGCCGGGGUAAUCUGAGCGGGCUGGCAAGGC